Molecule: ribosomal RNA, 403 nt
Filed under: uncultured bacterium
Lineage: Bacteria
Description: partial 16S ribosomal RNA
Rfam family: Bacterial small subunit ribosomal RNA
Source: RNAcentral
GACGAACGCUGGCGGCGUGCCUAAUACAUGCAAGUCGAACGCAGUGGGGACGGGUGAGUAACACGUGGGUAACCUCCCCUCAAAGGGGAUAACACUUGGAAACAGGUGCUAAACCCAUACUGAUGUAUUGCCCCGCGGUGCAUUAGCUAGUGGGUGAGGUAACGGCUCACCAAGGCGACGAUGCCUAGCCGACCUGAGAGGGUGAUCGGCCACACUGGGACUGAGACACGGCCCAGACUCCUACGGGAGGCAGCAGUAGGGAAUAUUACGCAAUGGACGAAAGUCUGACCGAGCGACGCCGCGUGAGUGAAGAAGGUUUUCGGGUCGUAAAACGCUGUUGUUAGAGAGGCGGUAUCUAACCAGAAAGCCACGGCUAACUACGUGCCAGCAGCCGCGGUAAUUC